Biomphalaria glabrata is the source of this 72-nucleotide non-coding RNA. The record is from Rfam. NCBI's taxonomy places the organism in Eukaryota, Metazoa, Mollusca, Gastropoda, Planorbidae.
GCCUUCGUGGCCAAGUGGUAAGGCGUCGGUCUCGUAAACCGAAGAUCCAGGGUUCAAGUCCCUGCGGAGGCA